RNAcentral lists this ribosomal RNA (439 nucleotides) under uncultured Sphingobacteriales bacterium. RNAcentral's name for it is "partial 16S ribosomal RNA". It matches the Rfam family "Bacterial small subunit ribosomal RNA", at positions 406 to 845 of the family's 1533-position model. Lineage: Bacteria; Pseudomonadati; Bacteroidota; Sphingobacteriia; Sphingobacteriales. The record is from RNAcentral.
GGAUGAAGGCCCUAUGGGUUGUAAACUUCUUUUAUAUGGGAAGAAACCCCCCUACGUGUAGARGGCUGACGGUACCAUAAGAAUAAGCAUCGGCUAACUCCGUGCCAGCAGCCGCGGUAAUACGGAGGRUGCAAGCGUUAUCCGGAUUCAUUGGGUUUAAAGGGUGCGUAGGCGGRKAGGUAAGUCAGUGGUGAAAUCUCSCAGCUYAACUGUGAAACUGCCAUUGAUACUGUUAUUCUUGAAUAUAGUUGAGGUAGGYGGAAUGUGUCAUGUAGCGGUGAAAUGCUUAGAUAUGACACAGAACACCAAUUGCGAAGGCAGCUUACUAAACUAAUAUUGACGCUGAGGCACGAAAGCGUGGGGAKCAAACAGGAUUAGAUACCCUGGUAGUCCACGCCCUAAACUAUGAUUACUCGAYGUUGGCGAUACACUGUCAGUG